GCUAUUGGAUAGCAAAUAAUCAUCAAAAUUCGCACAAGCCAUACAAAGUUGGCACCUACUGCAAGCCCAUAUCUGGAGCAUAUUGCUUGUGGAAUAACCUCCCCAAAAAAGAGAACAAACGUCACAGAGAGUAUUAUAGCAACAUACUGAUUGAAAAGCUUAUCCAGGUAAAUAGGAAGAGCCUCCAUGGAAGCAGCAUUACACAGAAGCAAAGUCACUAGAAGUUGGUGCUGCUUUUGAACCACGGGAAGAAU
Molecule: unclassified non-coding RNA, 254 nt
Filed under: Hevea brasiliensis (rubber tree)
Lineage: Eukaryota; Viridiplantae; Streptophyta; Magnoliopsida; Malpighiales; Euphorbiaceae
Source: RNAcentral